This 470-nucleotide ribosomal RNA is filed under the name Dichaetophora sp. PE8 (Gao). RNAcentral describes it as "partial 28S ribosomal RNA". It matches the Rfam family "Eukaryotic large subunit ribosomal RNA", at positions 1508 to 1897 of the family's 3401-position model. Lineage: Eukaryota; Metazoa; Arthropoda; Insecta; Diptera; Drosophilidae. The record is from RNAcentral.
UUCGUGUGAACAGUGGUUGAUCACGAGUUAGUCGGUCCUAAGUUCAAGGCGAAAGCCGAAAAUUUUCAAGUAAUUAACGAAAUCAAAAUAUAUUUAACAAUCUUAUCGAUUUUUUAAGCACUUGAAUAAUUUUGAACGAAAGGGAAUACGGUUCCAAUUCCGUAACCUGUUGAGUAUCCGUUUGUUAUUAAAUAUGGGCCUCGUGCUCAUCCUGGCAACAGGAACGACCAUAAAGAAGCCGUCGAGAGGUAUCGGAAGAGUUUUCUUUUCUGUUUUAUAGCCGUACUACCAUGGAAGUCUUUCGCAGAGAGAUAUGGUAGAUGGGCUAGAAGAGCAUGACAUAUACUGUUGUGUCGAUAUUUUCUCCUCGGACCUUGAAAAUUUAUGGUGGGGAUACGCAAACUUCUCAACAGGCCGUACCAAUAUCCGCAGCUGGUCUCCAAGGUGAAGAGUCUCUAGUCGAUAGAAUA